GCCGGGCUUGGUGGUACACACCUGUAAUCCCAGUGACAUGGGAGGCUGAGGCAGGAGGAUUGUGAGUUCAAAGCCAACCUCAGCAACGGCUAGGUGCAAAGCAACCUGUCUCUAAAUAUUUAGAGACCCUGUCUCUA
This 137-nucleotide small RNA is filed under the name Marmota monax (woodchuck). The record is from RNAcentral. Lineage: Eukaryota; Metazoa; Chordata; Mammalia; Rodentia; Sciuridae.